UAACAAUCCAUCGUCUGCAUCUGCCAAAACCCACCCAGAAACUCUAACCACUUCACUGGCAGCAUAGUGAGGAAGUCUGCACGCUCUCCCUCGGGUUUUUGUCCUAUGCCACACUUUCAGAGCAACUGAGCGGAGUCUUGAUAUUUGAUAGUUCUAUCAGAAUCAGAUUCAGACCCAUUGCCCAGCAUGGGACAGAGAAAAAGAGUGA
This 208-nucleotide unclassified non-coding RNA is filed under the name Hevea brasiliensis (rubber tree). The record is from RNAcentral. Lineage: Eukaryota; Viridiplantae; Streptophyta; Magnoliopsida; Malpighiales; Euphorbiaceae.